This 489-nucleotide ribosomal RNA is filed under the name uncultured bacterium. Its description in RNAcentral is "bacterial SSU rRNA". It matches the Rfam family "Bacterial small subunit ribosomal RNA", at positions 30 to 506 of the family's 1533-position model. The record is from RNAcentral.
AUUGAACGCUGGCGGUAUGCUUAACACAUGCAAGUCGAACGGUAACGAUGCUAGCUUGCUAGCAGGCGACGAGUGGCGGACGGGUGAGUAACACGUGGGAAUCUACCGAGUAGCGGGGGAUAGCCCGGAGAAAUCCGGAUUAAUACCGCAUAAGCACUACGGUGUAAAGGGGGCCUCUUCUUGAAAGCUUCCACUAUUCGAUGAGCCUGCGUCAGAUUAGCUAGUUGGUGGGGUAAUGGCCUACCAAGGCGACGAUCUGUAGCUGGUCUGAGAGGAUGAUCAGCCACACUGGGACUGAGACACGGCCCAGACUCCUACGGGAGGCAGCAGUGGGGAAUAUUGGACAAUGGGGGCAACCCUGAUCCAGCAAUACCGCGUGUGUGAAGAAGGCCUUCGGGUUGUAAAGCACUUUCAGCGAGGAGGAAAAGCUAGUAGUUAAUACCUGCUGGCCUUGACGUUACUCGCAGAAGAAGCACCGGCUAACUCCGU